GAAUAUUGGACAAUGGGCGCAAGCCUGAUCCAGCCAUGCCGCGUGUGUGAAGAAGGCCUUCGGGUUGUAAAGCUCUUUCGGCGGGGACGAUAAUGACGGUACCCGCAGAAGAAGCCCCGGCUAACUUCGUGCCAGCAGCCGCGGUAAUACGAAGGGGGCUAGCGUUGUUCGGAAUCACUGGGCGUAAAGGGCGCGUAGGCGGCUUUAUAAGUCGGGGGUGAAAGCCUGUGGCUCAACCACAGAAUUGCCUUCGAUACUGUAGAGCUUGAGACCGGAAGAGGUUAGUGGAACUGCGAGUGUAGAGGUGAAAUUCGUAGAUAUUCGCAAGAACACCAGUGGCGAAGGCGGCUGACUGGUCCGGUUCUGACGCUGAGGCGCGAAAGCGUGGGGAGCAAACAGG
RNAcentral lists this ribosomal RNA (400 nucleotides) under uncultured bacterium. RNAcentral's name for it is "bacterial SSU rRNA". It matches the Rfam family "Bacterial small subunit ribosomal RNA", at positions 359 to 776 of the family's 1533-position model. The record is from RNAcentral.